RNAcentral lists this transfer RNA (75 nucleotides) under Bacteroidia bacterium. RNAcentral describes it as "tRNA-Phe". It matches the Rfam family "tRNA". From Rfam's summary of the family: Transfer RNA (tRNA) molecules are approximately 80 nucleotides in length. Their secondary structure includes four short double-helical elements and three loops (D, anti-codon, and T loops). The record is from RNAcentral. Lineage: Bacteria; Pseudomonadati; Bacteroidota; Bacteroidia.
GGAAGGGUAGCUCAGGUGGGUAGAGCAAUGGCCUGAAAAGCCAUGUGUCGCUGGUUCAACUCCAUGCCCCUUCCA